CUGACACAGGUGCUGCAUGGCUGUCGUCAGCUCGUGUCGUGAGAUGUUGGGUUAAGUCCGUAACGAGCGCAACCCUUGUCCUUAGUUACCAGCACGUUAUGGUGGGCACUCUAAGGAGACUGCCGGUGACAAACCGGAGGAAGGUGGGGAUAACGUCAAGUCAUCAUGGCCCUUACGGCCUGGGCUACACACGUGCUACAAUGGUCGGUACAAAGGGUUGCCAAGCCGCGAGGUGGAGCUAAUCCCAUAAAACCGAUCGUAGUCCGGAUCGCAGUCUGCAACUCGACUGCGUGAAGUCGGAAUCGCUAGUAAUCGUGAAUCAGAAUGUCACGGUGAAUACGUUCCCGGGCCUU
This 353-nucleotide ribosomal RNA is filed under the name uncultured Pseudomonas sp. RNAcentral's name for it is "bacterial SSU rRNA". It matches the Rfam family "Bacterial small subunit ribosomal RNA", at positions 1029 to 1382 of the family's 1533-position model. Lineage: Bacteria; Pseudomonadati; Pseudomonadota; Gammaproteobacteria; Pseudomonadales; Pseudomonadaceae. The record is from RNAcentral.